This is an RNA transcript of Cephus cinctus (wheat stem sawfly), 3391 nucleotides long. RefSeq lists it as uncharacterized. The transcript has 7 exons. The record is from RefSeq and is a predicted model, not a curated record. NCBI's taxonomy places the organism in Eukaryota, Metazoa, Arthropoda, Insecta, Hymenoptera, Cephidae.
UGCAAUUAUCGUCAAUUCUGAUAAUUCUCUCUGAUCAUCACCCUCCCUCAAUAAGAUUCUGCUUCGUUCCAAUACUCGUCACUGCUUCUGACCCGUAACGCUUCUUUCGAUAGCCUCGAAAGGACCCAAGAUAUCUAAACAUGUGUAUGAUCUUUAAGUAUGUAUAAGAAAAUUCAUGUAUGCCAUAUGCUGACGAGAGUACGAUAUCAGUGGGUUGGAUAACAAUCCAAGUGGAAUUCACUCGGAUCUGACACUCUGUUGCUAACCGAGCAACGUCCAUGUUCAACACUGUACAAAGCUAUAGCCUAUGUGCUUGCCCUUCACUCUCAAUCCCCAUGACGAUCACCAUUAUACCAAAAAGAGUCCUUCUCAUCGUCCCCAUCCUCAUCGACCCUGCAACUUAUUGUAUUAUGUAGCUGUAUAUAUCAGCUCUUUACGAUAUACCGCAUUUCCUAUGUCUUACAGUACGAGAACUGUUGACCAAUGAUACAAAUGAGGUGGGAAGAAUACAGAAAUAAAAAUAGGAGAUUGGUACAUAAAGAAUGGGAAAUAAUGGCCACCACGAUGAUGACGACCACGACGGCGGCAGUCCUGUGACUUGAGGUAUAUUUAAUUCAACGUUGCCUCCGCCACUGGUGCUCGAGAAAUAGUUGUGGAAACGUUGACCUGCACGUGGAAAGCCGAUGUCCUACGCACUUCUUCCAUCCCUCAUUCUUUAAUUAAACAUGAAACUCAAAGAAAUUGCUAAAUACUGUUUUUUAUUGUUACAUUUAUCGAAGAAGGCUCUCAGUCCGCGAUGAAGAGACGAAGUUGAUAAGUUGCUAGUGUAUAAGCGCCUAGGUAAUUACGGACGGUUAAAUGAGGGCUAAAUGUAUAAUUCUAAAAUGGUUAAAAGACAAAUGAAAUGCCUGACAAUAAGACAUUUCACUGCUGUUACAGGAAAACUUUCUCUGAUGACUGUUUCCACUAUUUGCAGAGUAUAUGGACACGACAUAUGUUCACAUCUGUCGCGCACGUUCCACCAUAAGUUUCAUAACCUAAGGAUGUGCCAGUAGUCUUCAGGAAGUUCGGACAAUUUAGGAAAGUUAAAGAAAUUCACCGAGGCAGAUCGGGGGGAAGGAUGCAAAAUCUGGGCAAAGGACGUCCAGCGUUACUUGGCAAACAAGAAUGAGGAGGUAGGACGUCGAAAGCCUAAAAUCGAUAUUCUUACGUAAGCGGUCAUGAAACGAUACGUGGUAGAGGUUUAGGUGGAUGAAAAAAGGAAAAAAUAAAAAAAGUAGACAUGGUGAUAAAAGGCAAAGGUCGAGAAGGACUCACCUCCUUUCCCCCAUCCACAUACUGACACAAGAAAACACGGGGUCGCAAGGUCUUCUGCAGAUAAUAUUAACAACGUUCGUUAUACAUAGAUGCAGUCUUACGUAAAAUAUGCUGUAGGUGCCGGUUCAGUGCGAGGACACGGGAGAUGGGAGAGAACUUCCGGCCUAUCGGCUGGAUUAUGGGCCUUCGUCAUUCGUAAUACCUCAUGGUUCCUAAUGGCUGUUGCUAGUUCUCCAUGUCAACGCUGUGCUGCCAAGAGAGCGCAGCACCCGCAACCGACACCACAGCGCACCGAAUCGGAUUCCAUGCCCCUACAGCACUUCGAGUCCCCACUACAUAUCGUAAGGACGUGUGCGCUUUCGGUACAAUCGCUGCCGUUGUCGUUUUUGUUGGCGUUGCUGCUGUUGCUGCCGCUGCCAUCGUGGCCACCACCUCCAACGCCGGCGCACCUAUCGCCGCCACACGCAGCCCUCGUCAGCUGCCGCACAGUUCAGUUCGUGUCGGUCCUUCUGCUCGUGAGGUUCUGUUCUCGGAUUGUUUCUUUUGCUUGUUGCCCGCUACGUGUUACUCAUCUUCUACGCUAUUCGAUCUUCUGAUACUUAAUAGUGCUUUAUCGAGCGCUCAACGUUCUCAUUACGUUUGCAACGAAAAGUGUCAUCGUCAUUCUGAAAUACUGAGGUACUACACUAUUCCCGCGAGUCUCUCAAAAGAGAUAGCAGAACAAUCUUCUUUAUAUACCACUUUAAUUCGCCUCUUCUUAAUAUUACUUAAAUAGUUUUCUUUUUAUUAUAUUGCACAGUACAGCAAUUAGAUAUUCUGUCGAAACUAUCAGCUGGCGAUUCAUUCCAUUCAUUCUCUUUCUCUCCCAAGAUACCAUCAUCUUUCAGCAUGCCACCAAGUCACCAAAUUACCAGAUCAUCGUAUUAACGAAUCGCCGGGGACUCUGUCUCCCUUUUACCCUCGUCUGCCUGCAUCCUUAUUCACUUACGUGUACCCUGGCCUAUCACUGUGGUCAUGGCAAUGAAUUGUUUCGGCACCGCAGGGAAAUAAAGUAACGUGCGCAGGAAGCUUUUUUCAUGUAUUUUGAUGCUUAGAGAAUGCAAAAGAUUUCGCGAGGUGGUAUACGGAAUCCAGACGGAAAUUGAAUAUCUUCGUGACACGUGCCUAUUCAGUGAAUGCUUAUUACUCGUUGAUCAUCGUAGGUUAGCUGAAAGUAAAAUAUACCAAGCGUGAACCUGUGCAUAUCGUUUGAGAGUGCGAGUCGUCGGAUGGAGUGAUGAUUAGAUAUUGCGAGAAGCUAACUAGCUCCAGCUAGACACUCGAGAAAGUUAACUUACAGUAAUAGCUUCAUCAUGCUCUCGUUUGCCAUACUGCUAAUCGUCAUCAAAGAACGGCUGAAUCCUUUCAAGGAUUGCCGGCCAUGCAAUAACAAAGGGGAUCGAGACCAGCUGUAUCCAGUGAGUCCUAUAGACAGUUUCUCUUAGAGGAUCCGAGGGAGAUGGAAAAGUUAGGUGAUAAAGGUGAAGAGGAACCGAAGAAGGCAAAGGGUGAACUAACCGGUCCGUGGUCCGUGGCUCGAGAUUGGCUUGACUUCACUUGGCUCGGCUUGGCUUAUCCAGUCAAUGAACUCUAGAGUCCCGCAGCGUGACACUGACCCCUCUCGGGUAAACGUCCCUGCGACGCUUUAUUAAUGCGGCAAAGCGAAGAGCGUGUGCGAUCAAGGCAAACUAUAAGACUAUUCAAGCGACGGUGUACAUUUUGGAAACUGCAUGGAAUCGCCCGGACAGGCCAAGCGAUUUCCUUGAGCAAAGGUUAAUCGAGGGAGAACUGGCAUUGUGACUAUGCGCGAGCAAGCUAACCUAGUGAAGAUAGGGAUGUGCACGUUGAUGUAAGUGAAUGAGUAGGCAAGUAGACAAGAAUGCAUGAAUAUGUACGCAACGGGUCGGGGCCAUAGUUUACAUAUUCAUCGACAGGAGGCCACUUGCUUCCGUUGUCAGCAACUUCGGCAUUGCUAUUGUACUUUAUUCACUUCUGAAUACGUCUUAUCGAAAGUAAAGCACACAUCCAGCCGGUC